CCUUGAUUGAUCCAUACUC
RNAcentral lists this small nuclear RNA (19 nucleotides) under Arabidopsis thaliana (thale cress). RNAcentral describes it as "snRNA_17346". The record is from RNAcentral. Lineage: Eukaryota; Viridiplantae; Streptophyta; Magnoliopsida; Brassicales; Brassicaceae.